GAUGAAGAACGCAGCGAAAUGCGAUAAGUAAUGUGAAUUGCAGAAUUCCGUGAAUCAUCGAAUCUUUGAACGCACAUUGCGCCCUCUGGUAUUCCGGGGGGCAUGCCUGUUCGAGCGUCAUUUCAACCUUCAAGCCCGGCUUGUGUGAUGGGUGACCGUCCCUCCUCUCGGCGGGACGCGCCCGAAAUGCAGUGGCUAGACCGCGAUUCCGGCGUCUGAGCGAAUGGGAUAACCACCGCUUCUAGAACCGGCCGGCCCUGGUCCCAAAAACAUCGAUCCUCGCGGAUCACCCAGGUUGACCUCGGAUCAGGUAGGGAUACCCGCUGAACUUAAGCAUAUCAAUAAGCGGAGGA
This 353-nucleotide unclassified non-coding RNA is filed under the name soil metagenome. Its description in RNAcentral is "partial contains 5.8S ribosomal RNA, internal transcribed spacer 2, and large subunit ribosomal RNA". The stretch from base 1 to 120 matches the Rfam family "5.8S ribosomal RNA", at positions 35 to 154 of the family's 154-position model. The record is from RNAcentral.